ACACUACUGAGGAGUCCCACAAUAGGACGAAACGGUCGUUCAGUGC
RNAcentral lists this non-coding RNA (46 nucleotides) under Schistosoma bovis. RNAcentral also lists the same sequence under 1 other name. Lineage: Eukaryota; Metazoa; Platyhelminthes; Trematoda; Strigeidida; Schistosomatidae. The record is from RNAcentral.